Molecule: long non-coding RNA, 724 nt
Organism: Fukomys damarensis (Damara mole-rat)
Lineage: Eukaryota; Metazoa; Chordata; Mammalia; Rodentia; Bathyergidae
Exons: 5
Source: RefSeq, a predicted model, not a curated record
CUGUUAAUCUGCAAGGAUACUAAGUAAAAAAUACAAGUCCUGUUUCUGUGGACAGAGUACAAGUUGCCAUUGUGAAAUGGGAACACCGCCCUCAAAACACUCCUGUCCCUUUGAAGUGCUAUGUCUCAGCUUCCGGAACCUAGCCUAGAUGACUCCACAGAAGCUGUUUAAUUUUGUGAAAGUAUCCCAUUUCCAAGAUGAGCACCUUUGUAUCUCACGUGCCCAAACUACAGCUCUCCAGCACCUCAGAAGGAAGAUUGCUGUUUUUCCAGGAGUCUGGCAUUGUAUGAGAUGCCGCCAGAACCCUCAGAAGUCCACGAGUGAAACACUGAAAAACAUUGGUUCUCACUGACGACAAGGUGGAUGGCAGCCGUCCUGGGACCUUCAUCGUCCUUGUCCAUGUGCAGCCCCUUGAUCAAUUUCUUCCAAGCUCGACUCAUGCAGCCACUAACUUCUUCACCACCAAGAUACUGAUGAACAAAUAUCCCUACCUCCCAGCCCCACCUUCCAACACAGCUCCUCCUUCUGACAAUGAUCCCAGUCAGCUGGAAGCAGCCACUUGAGAAAACUCACAAUCCCAUCCUUAUGCCGGGAAUGUGAGGCCUCUACCCACCAGACCUAACCACGCCAUCCUUCAUAUCAGCAACCUACUUAGCCCUAGCCACAGCACCCAGUCCAUCUUCCUGAAACCAUCUUCCUACCUCCAUCUCAAUAAAAGCCCGCU